Molecule: long non-coding RNA, 3612 nt
Organism: Lolium perenne
Lineage: Eukaryota; Viridiplantae; Streptophyta; Magnoliopsida; Poales; Poaceae
Source: RefSeq, a predicted model, not a curated record
CGUCUCAUACCGUGUUUUUUUCCACUUCGUUCCUAUAGUAGAACAACCUAAAUACCCAAUGAUGGAACUGAGCUAUAAAACAUGUUGGGAUUGUAAAUAAACUGUCUAUAGCUGACUUGUUCUUAGUUUUCUUAUGUGAUUAUAGUAUAAAAAGAAGCACUUCAGGUUGCAGUGUGCUUUAGGCAUGUCGCUUCUACUGCAUAUGCACAUACACAUAUGUCAGUUUUGCUUCUCAAUCACGUGAUAUUAACAGAAACUAUAUUUUAGUCUGGUUCCUUUUACUAACAAUGUUUUUUCCCCAAAAGGCACAGACAAUUAAUUUGUUCUUUGUUAGUGCUUUUUUUUUUGAAUGCUUCGGAUGUGUUACUUCCACCUGCGUAUAUAUAAAUUUCAGUAUGCUCAUAAAUCAUUUGUUUUAGAGAAACCAAAUUUUAGCAUAGGCAUCAUUCAGGUUAGCCAGUGUAUUUUUCUUAAGUUAACCUUAUUUGAAUUACGUAACUAAGUAGCUUUCGGUCUGUAUUGGUUAGACCCAUACAGUACAUGCAAAGGAUUUCGUCUAUGUGUUCCAUUUCAUAGCUUAUGGCUUGACAUCCACUAAACUGCACAUUCCACGUUUGAUCCUAAAUUUGACCACCCUAUCCCUUUCUUUGUAACAAGAACAAAGUAGUACAUAUACAGUUGAUUAACAUUUAGGGGUAUAAUCUGGACAUGCCAUAUUUGAUGAGACAAACGGAUGGUUAUGCUUAUUUUCUGUUGCAUAUGAAAAAUACUUUAAUGUUUGUAUUCACUUCGAGAGAUUUGGCAUACCUUCUUGUGAUAUUCAGUUGAUCUCUAUAUAUAUUUGUACCCGCUAAAUGUUUCCUAUGCAUUCCAAAUUUGUUGAUCACAUGAAACUGCAAUUAACAGUAGCUUUUAGAUAAAUAAGAGCAAUCCACUAGACCGAAAAACAUACAAACCAAAGAGCCUUAACUAAUGGUUGAUGAUAGCUUAGUCUUGCUUCAUAGUCAUCUAUUAGUAUAGUCUUCAGCCACACUUACUGCCGACAGGUCUAUGUUCCGGUGCAUAAAUUUCUAAUUAUUCUGCUUCUGAAGAUUAUAAUUUCUCUAGAAUCAGUAACCAAAUGUGUACAAGAUGUUUUAUUAACUUGAGAGUCUGUUUACAAACAGCAAAGCUACAUCGUUUGCACAGUUGUCGUGUUAAAUAGCCGAGACAAAUCAAUGCUGAAUUAUUUUGUGGACACAAUCUCAACUGAUACAGAUCAUUGUUCUAUCACGCUUCAUUUCUUAUGUUUUUCUUUGUUUUCAUUUUAGCUCAUGGUAAUGUUUAAAAUGUAUCGAAGGUUUUUUGUCCAGUCAAGGUAGAAAUUUGAUGUCUCCUAGAGGGUGUUAUUUUUAUAUUACCAUAUGAAACCUACAUUUGUAAUAUAAUUAUUUAGUGAUUAUUUGACAAUAUAAGCUCAGAUAGCAUCCAUUAUGGAGGCAAUAAGAAAUGAAAAGCUGGAGAAAAUAUCAAGUGAUAUCCUUCGUUCAUGUAGUCGCGUAUGAUACCAUUUUUGGUCUCAUUGGCUAGCAGUAUUGCUUGAAUUGAUACCAUUUCUGAUAAGAACACUAUAUUUUGAUGUUACAUAGUGCUUAGUCUAUUAUUUGUAUAUAUUUCUGACUCCUUAAUUUGUACAUAUAAUUCCCUGUUAGUUAAAUAAUAAAUGCAUAUUGCGAGGUGAUAAUGAAUUAAUUUAUUUUAACUCUGAAAACAAGUUAAUAACGAUGCAUGUAAAUGUAGACUUGAGGUAGCUAUACUUCAGAUGCAUAAAAGCAUCUACAUUUUCAUAUUUACUUUUGUUAGGCAUGUGGUUUCGAUGGAACAUCUAUUUGAUCAAUUUGUUUCAUAGAAAUAUCUGGUAAUCUUAAUUAUCUUUUGAAAUUCAUAGACAUGGUUCCGACAAGAUGCAACUUCCGAAUCUAUGCCGGGCCUUUUUUUCCGUCACCGAAUCUAUACAGGGUCUUUUGUUUGGACCAAAAACAAUAAUCGGCGGCAUGUCGAAGUACCACCGUGUAUCUUCCUCUUUUCUACGAGGUCUUUUUCUUUUCUUUCAGCCAACAUCAUUGUUGUCUUUUCUUGGAAGAUUUACAAUGAGGUUUCAGCUAGGAGUGACAUUUUUCUCAAAAGACUAAGACUGAAGCUAAGAAACAUGUAGAGUUCUUGUGAUGUUGAAUUACUGCGAUCUGAAUAUCUCCCUGAAGUGGCAUGGGGAGAUGAGUUGUCCUACUUUAGAAUACAUAUAACUUCGAAUAGGUUAGCUUUGAUUUUAUCUGAUUCUCCUUUUUCUUAAUUUCCCUUUGGAAUUACAAAGUGAUUUUUAUUUUUGCAGCUAGAUGAAAUUUGUAAUCAGAGAUGUUUUUUUUUGCACUUUAUCACCAUGAAUAUGGAGUGGAGGCAAUGAGGGAAUUUAUCUGACGUUGUGUCCAUUAUCCCUAAGGCAGCACUUUAUGUAUUUUAACUUUCGGUUUGUCCUGCUAUCAGCUCUUUAGUAAAUCAUGUUGUUUCAUUCAGACUAUUUUGCCUUUUAUCCAGGUGUCAGAACGUGUUACCUCAUUAUCUGCAAGACAAAUGUCUUACCUUUCUGCUCUCAACUACUGAUACCUACCUACACGGCUUUGCUUCCACUCCGACAGGUUCCUCCGCCCCGCUCUGACGGACUCCACUCUGCUUCGAUGCUGUCUUCUGCUCUAUCGGCAACAUGGCGGGAGACGUCAUCCUCUAGCAAUGCCAACUAGCUCUAGGCCCCUAUCUGCCGUCGGACUCUGUCAAGUACCAUGCUUGUGUUUAGUUACGUAUUCUCCUCAUGAGUAUACCUUGUUGGCAGGUCACUUGACUGCUGGAAGUGAUGUCUACAGCUUUGGUGUGGUCCUUCUUGAGGCGAAAAUCCAUCGACAAGUCCUGGACCAGCAGGGAGCAUAGCCUGGUUGACUGGGUUGGCCCCAAGUUGAGCUACAAGAGGCGGCUUCUCCAUAUCAUCGACCCAAAACUGAAGGGGCAGUAUUCAUUCACAGCUGCUCACAAGGCCUGCAGCCUUGCAUUCUGCUGCCUCAUGAGUGAUGCCGUUGUCUGUCGAGAUGCUUGAACUCAUGAGCGAUGCCAUUGAGACGCUUGAACCACUUCAUGAAGGUGGUGGAAGCAAUGGAGAUGUUGUUCACGUGGGUGGCCUCCCUGACUACAGAAUUCGCUGCAGGCUGACAGGAAACAGCGUGCACCCCAACCCCAAGUGCUCCCUGCCAUCCCGACGUGCAGGGUUAGGUGGUAACAACUUCUGCAGUUCCAGGUUUCACCCGUUGCUGCAGUAGGUCCAGUUGUGCAUUGCUAGCUCUUCGAUGUGUAAAUUUGAUCUGCACACCGCUGCUGCUUUUUUCUUUCUGCUGCUUAUAAGGCCCCUCCAAUUUUCACGGUGGUCUUAAGGUAUCUUGAUUGAGUCACCCCUGCUGAAACCGACGGCGUUUAAUCCCUUAGAUUGAAUGCUGAACCAAGAUGUGUUGCUGGUCAAUGGUAUGGAAUUGAACUAUGAAAAUUAUGUCACAUGAUGUAGCUUUCUUAAAGUUUAACUCUGGGAUUGGUUCA